This 366-nucleotide long non-coding RNA is filed under the name Hordeum vulgare. Its description in RNAcentral is "long non-coding RNA (HVUL_LNC019168)". Lineage: Eukaryota; Viridiplantae; Streptophyta; Magnoliopsida; Poales; Poaceae. The record is from RNAcentral.
CAAACAUCACUUCUAGGAGUAGAAUCCUAACUACAAGAGUAUCAAGGAGCAAUAGGUCUAUAGGAACCACACCAUUUACCAUACAAGCAUCACUUAGACCAUACCAUGUCAAGGAAGGAAACAAAACAUGAUACAAGGACAUUAUAAACAAAAGUGUAGCUUCAAGUAUCUUUUGGCUGUUUUUUUGGCACACAAAUCUUAUCAAAUAGACCAACCAAUCAUGUCUUAAUACCAAAAAAUAAACAGAAGUGUUGCGGCAAGUAGUGCAGUAGGACUAUUCAGUUCAACAUGAUUUUAGAAGCUGAAACUUAGAAGCUUAGUUAACCACUUAGAGCACUAACUGAAGUAGGAAUCAUAUCAACUAGC